ACUGAACACACAGAAGCUGAAUAACAAGAGUCUUAAAUCCAUACAUACCGUCUAAUAAAAAUAAGGAACAUUAAGGCCAAGCCUUACAUAGAUAAGGCCUCGAAGGCCGACACACCAAACACAACUAACAUUCGAUGUCUUGAAUGAAACCGUGAAAUCCAUGCUAUAUGUCGUAACCUACAUGCAUUCUGACUAGGAAGUAUCCUAGUUGUAUGUUCGUCACCGACGAAUUCUUCUCCAAAUUCUUGCUCUUCCAUGCUUGGCCAAUUAAAUAACCAGCGGCAAGCCAAUGGGUACUCUGAAUGUACUCGCAACCAACCCAUGAUGUGGAACAAGGCAAUGAUGAAACAUGAUAUGAUACUAGUAGCCAAUUUGCGGAAAGAAGGGUUUCCCAAGUGCAAUAACAUGAUCAACUUCUCAUGCAGCAUGCAUCAUAAGGUAAGUGAUAGCCACGCGAACGGGUUACAUAUUUCAAUAUCAACUAAGGCCUGAACAACCCAUGUACACCCACGAUGCCAAGUCAUCUGACUUAGCUCAUCAAUCAUACUACUACCACCACCACCC
This 564-nucleotide long non-coding RNA is filed under the name Hordeum vulgare. Its description in RNAcentral is "long non-coding RNA (HVUL_LNC004758)". The record is from RNAcentral. Lineage: Eukaryota; Viridiplantae; Streptophyta; Magnoliopsida; Poales; Poaceae.